GACGAACGCUGGCGGCGUGCUUAACACAUGCAAGUCGAACGGAAAGGCCCUGCUUUUGUGGGGUGCUCGAGUGGCGAACGGGUGAGUAACACGUGAGUAACCUGCCCUUGACUUUGGGAUAACUUCAGGAAACUGGGGCUAAUACCGGAUAGGAGCUCCUGCUGCAUGGUGGGGGUUGGAACGUUUCGGCGGUUGGGGAUGGACUCGCGGCUUAUCAGCUUGUUGGUGGGGUAGUGGCUUACCAAGGCUUUGACGGGUAGCCGGCCUGAGAGGGUGACCGGCCACAUUGGGAGUGAGCUACGGGCCAGACUCCUACGGGAGGCAGCAGGGGGGAAUAUUGCACAAUGGGCGGAAGCCUGAUGCAGCAACGCCGCGUGGGGGAUGACGGCCUUGGGGUUGUAAACCGCUUUCGCCUGUGACGAAGCGUGAGUGACGGUAAUGGGUAAAGAAGCACCGGCUAACUACGUG
This 468-nucleotide ribosomal RNA is filed under the name uncultured bacterium. RNAcentral describes it as "partial 16S ribosomal RNA". It matches the Rfam family "Bacterial small subunit ribosomal RNA", at positions 28 to 507 of the family's 1533-position model. The record is from RNAcentral.